Molecule: long non-coding RNA, 467 nt
Filed under: Aquilegia coerulea
Lineage: Eukaryota; Viridiplantae; Streptophyta; Magnoliopsida; Ranunculales; Ranunculaceae
Description: long non-coding RNA (ACOE_LNC000338)
Source: RNAcentral
UUUAUAUAUGCUCAAGACCAUAUAAUCCUCUGUAUUUUGGUCCCACAACACCACAACAAGUAAGCACAUACACAUUGCUGCAAUAUUUACCAGUUUCAUUCAUCAUGUUAAAGACAGUGGGCAAAGAUGUUCAAGUAUUCAGUGAUAGUUUCCGGUUUGCAAUGUUUUUGGACUUUGGUAAUGGUUUCUGCUCUCUCCCAGGCCACAUUGUACCAACUACUAAACAAGCCACAAGGGUCGAGCUCACUAACAAUGGGCUUCUGAUUCAAAGUGGGCUAUCAAGGAAAUUGGAAUGGCCUUCCCCAAAAUUACUUUCUAUUUUUGUAUUUUGCCGAACAAGCUUCGAGUAAUGCACAUUUUUAAGUGUUUGACGAACGGGUCGAAGUUACGCAUGUCAAUUUUUUAUUUUAUUUUUCUUUUGUCUGAUGUAUCACAUUCUCGGAUUCAAUUGAAAUGGUAUUUUUAUA